This 418-nucleotide ribosomal RNA is filed under the name Eurythenes gryllus. RNAcentral's name for it is "partial 16S ribosomal RNA". Lineage: Eukaryota; Metazoa; Arthropoda; Malacostraca; Amphipoda; Lysianassidae. The record is from RNAcentral.
GCCCAGUGAUUAAUUAAACGGCUGCGGUAUAUUGACCGUGCUAAGGUAGCAUAGUCAUUUGUCUUUUAAUUGGGGGCUGGAAUGAAGGGUUUAACAAAAGAUAGUGUCUUUAUUUUAAAUUUGUAAUUUAUAAUAAGGGUAAAAAUACUUUGGUGUGAUUAAGGGACGACAAGACCCUAAAAGCUUUAUUUUUAAUAUGAGUUUGAGUUUAAAAUAAAACAGAAAGUUUAACUGGGGUAGUUUUUUUGUAAAAUCUGAAGGUUGUAAAAGGCAUAUAAAAUGGAAGUUAGGUCCUUUAGAUAAGGAUAAUUUGAGUGAGUUACUUUAGGGAUAACAGCGUAAUAGUCCUAGGGAGAAUCGUAUCUAUGGGAAUUGAUUGCGACCUCGAUGUUGAAUUAAAAGCUCAGUGUAGAGCAGA